AUUGAACGCUGGCGGCAGGCCUAACACAUGCAAGUCGAGCGGAUGAAGGGAGCUUGCUCCUGGAUUCAGCGGCGGACGGGCGAGUAAUGCCUAGGAAUCUGCCUGGUAGUGGGGGAUAACGUCCGGAAACGGGCGCUAAUACCGCAUACGUCCUGAGGGAGAAAGUGGGGGAUCUUCGGACCUCACGCUAUCAGAUGAGCCUAGGUCGGAUUAGCUAGUUGGUGGGGUAAAGGCCUACCAAGGCGACGAUCCGUAACUGGUCUGAGAGGAUGAUCAGUCACACUGGAACUGAGACACGGUCCAGACUCCUACGGGAGGCAGCAGUGGGGAAUAUUGGACAAUGGGCGAAAGCCUGAUCCAGCCAUGCCGCGUGUGUGAAGAAGGUCUUCGGAUUGUAAAGCACUUUAAGUUGGGAAGAAGGGCAGUAAGUUAAUACCUUGCUGUUUUGACGUUACCAACAGAAUAAGCACCGGCUAACUUCGUG
This 484-nucleotide ribosomal RNA is filed under the name uncultured bacterium. RNAcentral describes it as "partial 16S ribosomal RNA". It matches the Rfam family "Bacterial small subunit ribosomal RNA", at positions 30 to 507 of the family's 1533-position model. The record is from RNAcentral.